AGGGAUCCGAGGUUAAACUCCCCAACCCCUGUGAACAUACCUUAAUGUUGCCUCGGCGGAUCAGCCCGCGCCCCGUAAAACGGGACGGCCCGCCAGAGGACCCAAACUCUAAUGUUUCUUAUUGUAACUUCUGAGUAAAACAAACAAAUAAAUCAAAACUUUCAACAACGGAUCUCUUGGUUCUGGCAUCGAUGAAGAACGCAGCAAAAUGCGAUAAGUAAUGUGAAUUGCAGAAUUCAGUGAAUCAUCGAAUCUUUGAACGCACAUUGCGCCCGCUGGUAUUCCGGCGGGCAUGCCUGUUCGAGCGUCAUUUCAACCCUCAAGCCCCCGGGUUUGGUGUUGGGGAUCGGCUCUGCCCUUCUGGGCGGUGCCGCCCCCGAAAUACAUUGGCGGUCUCGCUGCAGCCUCCAUUGCGUAGUAGCUAACACCUCGCAACUGGAACGCGGCGCGGCCAUGCCGUAAAACCCCAACUUCUGAAUGUUGACCUCGGAUCAGGUAGGAAUACCCGCUGAACUUAAGCAUAUCAGUAAGCCGGAGGAA
Molecule: ribosomal RNA, 540 nt
Filed under: Fusarium anthophilum
Lineage: Eukaryota; Fungi; Ascomycota; Sordariomycetes; Hypocreales; Nectriaceae
Description: eukaryotic LSU rRNA
Rfam family: 5.8S ribosomal RNA (bases 157-310)
Source: RNAcentral